Non-coding RNA from Acanthosepion pharaonis, 105 nucleotides. Lineage: Eukaryota; Metazoa; Mollusca; Cephalopoda; Sepiida; Sepiidae. The record is from the annotation of a GenBank genome assembly.
CCUCAGAAGAAAUACCGAUUCUCGUACGAUCACCGUAGUUAAGCAACGCUGGGCCUGUUCAGUACUUAGAUGAGUGACUGCUUGGGAAUACCAGAUGCUGUAAGC